AAUCAACGCUGGCGGCGUGCCUCAGACAUGCAAGUCGAACGAUUAAAGCUCUCUUCGGAGAGUGCAUAGAGUGGCGCACGGGUGAGUAACACGUAAGUAAUCUACCUUCGAGUGGGGAAUAACGUCCGGAAACGGACGCUAAUACCGCAUAAUGCAGCGGCAUCAUAAGAUGACAGUUGUUAAAGAUUUAUCGCUUGAAGAGGAGCUUGCGGCAGAUUAGCUAGUUGGUAAGGUAAUGGCUUACCAAGGCUACGAUCUGUAACCGGUCUAAGAGGACGGUCGGUCACACUGACACUGAAUAACGGGUCAGACUCCUACGGGAGGCAGCAGUCGGGAAUUUUGGGCAAUGGGCGAAAGCCUGACCCAGCAACGCCGCGUGAAGGAUGAAGUAUUUCGGUAUGUAAACUUCGAAAGAAUGGGAAGAAUAAAUGACGGUACCAUUUAUAAGGUCCGGCUAACUACGUGCCAGCCGCCGCUGU
RNAcentral lists this ribosomal RNA (479 nucleotides) under uncultured bacterium. RNAcentral's name for it is "bacterial SSU rRNA". It matches the Rfam family "Bacterial small subunit ribosomal RNA", at positions 32 to 521 of the family's 1533-position model. The record is from RNAcentral.